Molecule: non-coding RNA, 72 nt
Organism: Phrynosoma platyrhinos (Desert horned lizard)
Lineage: Eukaryota; Metazoa; Chordata; Lepidosauria; Squamata; Phrynosomatidae
Source: the annotation of a GenBank genome assembly
GUCAGUGUGGUGCAGUGGUUUGAGUGUUGGGCUGCAACACUGGAGAUCAGAGUUCGAAUCCCUGCUUGGCCA